Stegodyphus dumicola is the source of this 590-nucleotide long non-coding RNA. NCBI's taxonomy places the organism in Eukaryota, Metazoa, Arthropoda, Arachnida, Araneae, Eresidae. The record is from RefSeq and is a predicted model, not a curated record.
ACAAAAUUAACGCCUACAAUCGGGGCGUGCUUUUAGCCCAGUCGCUGUAGUACUCGCCUUUUAACUUGAAGGUCUGUAGUUCCAAACUCUUGGAUGGAAACUACGACUCUUCCAAUUCUAGUCAAUAGAGGGCGCCACCACUCGAUUUUCUCAUGAAUAUCUAUGUAGCGGGUCUCUACAAAUACUUUAGAAGUUUUGAAAGAAAUCAGUGAUGCAGCAAUUUAUAGAUGCAAGCACGCUUAUUUAUUUAUAGAAAUACGUAUAUUCUGCGUUCAGAAAUGCAUCUGAUAUUUGAAAUUUAGUUUUUAUUUCUAAAGUUUAUAAAAACAAUUGUAACGAACUAUUGCUUGUUUUAUCUCCUAACAUGAAAGGCAAUCAUUUGGAAACAUGAAGAACAGCUGUGGUGAGACCUCGGUCAAAGACACGUUUUUGAGAUGCUGAUUCUUGUGGAAUGGAGUGCUGGAAGAAAUCGUUUUACAUUAGUCCAGCUUUUUUUUUUUAUGAAUCCUCAUAUAGAAUUUAAAUGAGUUUCUUCACCGAUGAUCUGAAAUAUCUGCUACGUUAAAAAAAAAAAAAAAAAAAAAAAAGAA